CCUACGGGGAGCAGCAGUGAGGAAUAUUGGUCAAUGGGCGCGAGCCUGAACCAGCCAAGUCGCGUGAGGGAGGACGGCCCUACGGGUUGUAAACCUCUUUUGCCGGGGAGCAACGGGCGUCACGUGUGGCGCCACUGAGAGUACCCGGAGAAAAAGCAUCGGCUAACUCCGUGCCAGCAGCCGCGGUAAUACGGAGGAUGCGAGCGUUAUCCGGAUUUAUUGGGUGUAAAGGGAGCGUAGGCGGGAGUGCAAGUUGAAUGUAUAAACUAUCGGCUCAACUGAUAGAAGCGUUCAAAACUGCACUUCUUGAGUGAAGUAGAGGCAGGCGGAAUUCCUAGUGUAGCGGUGAAAUGCGUAGAUAUUAGGAGGAACACCAGUGGCGAAGGCGGCCUGCUGGGCUUUAACUGACGCUGAGGCUCGAAAGCGUGGGUAGCAAACAGGAUUAGAUACCCCAGUAGUC
RNAcentral lists this ribosomal RNA (460 nucleotides) under uncultured bacterium. Its description in RNAcentral is "partial 16S ribosomal RNA". It matches the Rfam family "Bacterial small subunit ribosomal RNA", at positions 338 to 795 of the family's 1533-position model. The record is from RNAcentral.